CCGGCACGGGUGAGUAACACGUAUCCAACCUGCCGUCUACUCUUGGACAGCCUUCUGAAAGGAAGAUUAAUACAAGAUGGCAUCAUGAGUCCGCAUGUUCACAUGAUUAAAGGUAUUCCGGUAGACGAUGGGGAUGCGUUCCAUUAGAUAGUAGGCGGGGUAACGGCCCACCUAGUCUUCGAUGGAUAGGGGUUCUGAGAGGAAGGUCCCCCACAUUGGAACUGAGACACGGUCCAA
Molecule: ribosomal RNA, 237 nt
Filed under: uncultured bacterium
Lineage: Bacteria
Description: partial 16S ribosomal RNA
Rfam family: Bacterial small subunit ribosomal RNA
Source: RNAcentral